Molecule: ribosomal RNA, 253 nt
Filed under: uncultured prokaryote
Description: partial 16S ribosomal RNA
Rfam family: Bacterial small subunit ribosomal RNA
Source: RNAcentral
ACGAAGGGGGCUAGCGUUGUUCGGAUUUACUGGGCGUAAAGCGCACGUAGGCGGACUUUUAAGUCAGGGGUGAAAUCCCGGGGCUCAACCCCGGAACUGCCUUUGAUACUGUUAGUCUUGAGUAUGGAAGAGGUGAGUGGAAUUCCGAGUGUAGAGGUGAAAUUCGUAGAUAUUCGGAGGAACACCAGUGGCGAAGGCGGCUCACUGGUCCAUUACUGACGCUGAGGUGCGAAAGCGUGGGGAGCAAACAGGA